GCAUAGCUCAGUGGCAGAGCACCUGAUUUGUAUUCAGAACGCCCCAGGUUCAAUUGAAUGGUUCAGGUAACA
Non-coding RNA from Podarcis lilfordi (Lilford's wall lizard), 72 nucleotides. The record is from the annotation of a GenBank genome assembly. Lineage: Eukaryota; Metazoa; Chordata; Lepidosauria; Squamata; Lacertidae.